GUGAUCAAUAAAUUUGUAAGAAAGAUCGGGAAACAAGAUAAUACAAACAGAAAUACUAAAUGGAAACGUAUGAUGAAUAAUACAAGUACUUGAAAGCAACCUAUGGUCUUUGGAAUGAAAUCAAUUUUUAUUUUCUGAAUAGAAAUCCAUUGACAUGAGUUUCUUCAUUAUUCAUAUAAAUACGAAAGAAAAGAGAACUGGACAAUACAACAGAAACACUGAAAUUACAGGGAAUACUUAUGCGUAAUAGGAAUUUGUAAAGGAGUUUGUUGCGACACAAUGAUAUUAACAUUUUUAUGUUCCAACUACGCACGUAUUUUGACUGGGUCCAUAAUGCAUACCACAAGUACAACAAACCCAGCAGUCACUGCAAUCAUCAUUGGAAGUACAACUUCUAAAACAAGUUGCAAGUUGUGGGAGUAUUCUCCUCUUGAAUCCUGAGAAAUCAUGAUCGAUAUUCUGUGCAGCUAUAACUUGCGUCAUUGGAAAUCUCGACAUAUUAACUGAAAUUUUCACAUCAUAAUUAUUGAGAUCAAGUUAUGGAUUGUAUAACGUAAAACAACACACUAAAAUUUCAUGUAUAUAAAAACAUGGACAUUAUCGAUACAUAUAAAAUAUGCGCGUGUACAAACACAUAAAUAUUAUAUGUACUACAAGAAAAUAUGUACGAGAAUAUGAGAUAAAUAAAAAUAGGUAUAUAUAUAUAUAUAUGUGUGUGUGUAUGUGUAUGUAUGUGUGUGUAUGUGGUGUACGACAACAAAAGGAAUAUGUACGAGAAUAUAGACAUUAGGAAAAAUGGGUACUCACUUGUGGUUGCCAUGAGAAUGAUAGUGAUAAUAAAACAAUGUUUAAAUAUCGCCAUAUCAGAAACUAUACUUCACACUUUAUGAAAGUCCUUGUUUGAGCAUUUCGUUGUCUUUAAAAGGUGGAAAUUUAUAGUCCUCUGUGAAUGAACUACCUGAUCUCUAGCAUGUGCUAUAGUUCUUUCUUUUCAUUUUUUUUUUCUCUUUAGUUUGUUUUUAUAUUUUAAUAAAGUCCCUUCACUCACACACCUUCCUAAAAAGAUUAUAAAUUACGCAUUCGAAUGUAUAGAAUAAAAUAUUUUGACCAGA
This 1112-nucleotide long non-coding RNA is filed under the name Nicotiana tabacum (common tobacco). RNAcentral describes it as "long non-coding RNA (NTAB_LNC015062)". The record is from RNAcentral. Lineage: Eukaryota; Viridiplantae; Streptophyta; Magnoliopsida; Solanales; Solanaceae.